Scophthalmus maximus (turbot) is the source of this 1925-nucleotide long non-coding RNA. The record is from Ensembl. Lineage: Eukaryota; Metazoa; Chordata; Actinopteri; Pleuronectiformes; Scophthalmidae.
ACGUCCAACUAAUAUCUUCUACUCGAAACAGCACCACUUCAAAAGCCUUGAAACUAACCCUUUUAUCGUGCCAUGAAACCAUUAAAGACAAUUUCACAGCAGCGUUCAUGGGACACUGCCGAGAAGUGUAGGUGGGCAACCUGUGAGAUAGCAUCACAGGUGGCAGCGCUCUGGUCAAACAGCAAUUUGCCUCUUUAGAAACAGUUAGGCCUAGUGAUCCCCAGGAAGUAAUUUCACAUUUAUAGAAAGAUCAAUGGCCCCGCGCUCUGACUCUAAUUGGUUAGAAAACAGAUCAUCAGUUGCAAUCAGAGCAUCAAGCAGCAGGCUCACCAGGAUCCUUUUUUUUUUAUUAUGAGACAUGUAAGAUUUCUGCAGACUCUGGAGAAUGUGUGUGCAAAUCAGCUACCCAGAUGAAUUUAAAUAAUGAUUCAACAGCAUCAGGACACACAAAUGAAAUUCAAUUGUUCACACACACACACACACACACACACACACACGUCGCGUAUAUCCGUCACUUGGCAUGAACACGGGAGGCAGCUCUCAGUUUGCGCACCAGCCAGUGUGUUGCUACCGAACAACAACUAGCAGCUCGACGUGACUGCAGCGCCGCUGCCCCCUUCCUCCUCCUCCUCCUCCUCCUCUUCCUCCUCCUGAACGUACAAAGUGCAGAAAUCUCCUGCGAAACUCUCCCAAAAAAUGAGCGCCUUCAAAGCACAAGUAGCAAACGCGUUUUACAUAACGAGGACAUCCUCAUCCUACUUCUGCGCUGGAGCAUGUGAUGGCAACAUGGUGAGCCUUUUAAAGGCGUAUCCACGCGUAACUGUGGGCAGGGGCUGCUGGGUGGAUCCACCCCGGUAACUUUCUCGGAGGGGAUGCGCCGUGGCGUUAAUUGGUCACGGCGGUGACUGUCAGUCAGCCCCUGCCUGACAGCCCCUGCACACACACACACACACACACACACACUACAGUGUGUCUCAAAGUGGAGGCUCGGGUCCCCGCUGGGGCCCCAUGCCAAGCACUGCAAGUAUGAGUCCGACCCAAGACCUCAACUGACUUCCACACGUUUUAUGAGAAAAUAUAAAUAAUAAUAUUUAGGAUAUGUGACAUGUAUCUGGAGUGGUUCAUUCUCUCGCCAACAAACUUGUUUGUCAUUAUUAUAUUAUAAUAGAGUUGUGAUCUUUUAGCUAUUUCUAAAAAAUGUGCUUUGUUAGAAAUAUAAUAAUGACUUUAUAAUAAUCUCUCUCUCCCCUCUCCUCAGACAGACAUCAUUAUUUUUCUCGGCAGGCCUCAGAAGGUCAUUUCCUGUUACCUCCAUAUAAAUCUAGCUUAAUUAAUACAGAGGAUAGUUAAUUGUCGAGCAAUGGUGGCAUGGAGCUCAUUACCCAUGUUGCUUGACAUCAGAAAAUAAUACAAUGAAAUAAAAGACUAUAUGUCUGCUCACAAAAGACGCAAUGCACAGAGCUACAUUACUUUCUUGUAUAUAUGGUUUACUUGUUUGUUUAUCUUGAAAAGUUGAUGUGAUGAAGAGAGCUGUUAGUGGUGGUUUGAGUUUCUCUCAUUCUCUAGGAUUGAUAUUGAGCAGUCAGGCUUUCGAUUUGAUGUCGGUUGUUACGUGCCGUAGUGGUUGUGUUGGGUGCUUGAGUGUUUUGUUAGGAUUGAAUAUGGAUGUAUAUUGACGUGUCUUCUGUUAUUGAUUGACACGUUUUUGUCUAAAAACUUGUGGGGAACCCAGGAAGAGUAGCCACUGUCUAAUAAAUACAUUUUGCACUCUUAAGUCUAUAGUCUCUCAAGUCACUCCUUGAUAAGUCAAGUCCAAGGCCAAGUCUCCAUUUGGAAUAAUCUGUCAGGAGUAAAUAAAAAAUACAUUUUAAUAAAUAGCAGACAUUAUGACUCGACAUCGUAGACAAACCAUGUGGACAUACUCU